Molecule: ribosomal RNA, 472 nt
Filed under: uncultured bacterium
Lineage: Bacteria
Description: bacterial SSU rRNA
Rfam family: Bacterial small subunit ribosomal RNA
Source: RNAcentral
ACUCCUACGGGAGGCAGCAGUGGGGAAUAUUGCACAAUGGGCGCAAGCCUGAUGCAGCCAUGCCGCGUGUAUGAAGAAGGCCUUCGGGUUGUAAAGUACUUUCAGUCGUGAGGAAGGCGGCGUCGUUAAUAGCGGCGUUGUUUGACGUUAGCGACAGAAGAAGCACCGGCUAACUCCGUGCCAGCAGCCGCGGUAAUACGGAGGGUGCGAGCGUUAAUCGGAAUUACUGGGCGUAAAGCGCAUGCAGGUGGUUUGUUAAGUCAGAUGUGAAAGCCCGGGGCUCAACCUCGGAAUUGCAUUUGAAACUGGCAGACUAGAGUACUGUAGAGGGGGUAGAAUUCAGGUGUAGCGGUGAAAUGCGUAGAGAUCUGAAGGAAUACCGGUGGCGAAGGCGGCCCCCUGGACAGAUACUGACACUCAGAUGCGAAAGCGUGGGAGCAAACAGGAUUAGAUACCCCGUGGUAGGACAGUG